GAUGAACGCUGGCGGCGUGCCUAAUACAUGCAAGUCGAGCGAACAGACGAGGAGCUUGCUCCUCUGACGUUAGCGGCGGACGGGUGGGUAACACGUGGAUAACCUACCUAUAAGACUGGGAUAACUUCGGGAAACCGGAGCUAAUACCGGAUAAUAUAUUGAACCGCAUGGUUCAAUAGUGAAAGACGGUUUUGCUGUCACUUAUAGAUGGAUCCGCGCCGCAUUAGCUAGUUGGUAAGGUAACGGCUUACCAAGGCGACGAUGCGUAGCCGACCUGAGAGGGGGGUCGCCCACACGGGAACUGAGACACGGUCCAGACUCCUACGGGAGGCAGCAGUAGGGAAUCUGCCGCAAUGGGCGAAAGCCUGACGGAGCAACGCCGCGUGAGUGAUGAAAGUCUUCGGAUCGUAAAACUCUGUUAUUAGGGAAGAACAAAUGUGUAAGUAACUAUGCACGUCUUGACGGUACCUAAUCAGAAAGCCACGGCUAACUACGUG
This 497-nucleotide ribosomal RNA is filed under the name uncultured bacterium. RNAcentral describes it as "partial 16S ribosomal RNA". It matches the Rfam family "Bacterial small subunit ribosomal RNA", at positions 28 to 507 of the family's 1533-position model. The record is from RNAcentral.